This 497-nucleotide ribosomal RNA is filed under the name uncultured bacterium. RNAcentral describes it as "partial 16S ribosomal RNA". It matches the Rfam family "Bacterial small subunit ribosomal RNA", at positions 29 to 507 of the family's 1533-position model. The record is from RNAcentral.
AAUGAACGCUGGCGGCGUGCCUAACACAUGCAAGUCGAGCGGAAAGACGAGGAGCUCUCUCCUCUGCCGUUGGCGACUGACGGGUGAGUAACACGUAGAUCACCUACCUCUAUGACUGGGGUGACUACGGGGAAACAGAUCCAAUACCGGAUCAUAUAUCGAACGGCUGGGAUCAAUGGAUCAUGGCGCCUUUCCUGACACUUAUAGCGGGUGCCGGGUCGGAUUAUUUAGUUGGUAAGGUAACGGCUAACCAAGGCGACGAUGCGUAGCCGACCUGAGAGGGUGAUCGGCCACACUGGAACUGAGACACGGUCCAGACUCCUACGGGAGGCAGCAGUGGGGAAUAUUGGACAAUGGGCGAAAGCCUGAUCCAGCAAUGCCGCGUGAGUGAAGAAGGUCUUCGGAUUGUAAAACCCUUUUAUUAGGGAAGAACAGAAGUAGAUGUAAACCUGGCCGUUUUGACGGUACCUAAAGAGAAAGCACCGGCUAACUUCGUG